RNAcentral lists this ribosomal RNA (478 nucleotides) under uncultured bacterium. RNAcentral's name for it is "partial 16S ribosomal RNA". It matches the Rfam family "Bacterial small subunit ribosomal RNA", at positions 28 to 523 of the family's 1533-position model. The record is from RNAcentral.
GACGAACGCUGGCGGCGUGCUUAACACAUGCAAGUCGAACGGUAAGGCCCUUCGGGGUACACGAGUGGCGAACGGGUGAGUAACACGUGGGUGAUCUGCCCUGCACUUCGGGAUAAGCCUGGGAAACUGGGUCUAAUACCGGAUAGGACCACUGCAUGCAUGGGUGGUGGUGGAAAGGUUUUGCGGUGUGGGAUGGGGCCGCGGCCUAUCAGCUUGUUGGUGGGGUGAUGGCCUACCAAGGCGACGACGGGUAGCCGGCCUGAGAGGGUGACCGGCCACACUGGGACUGAGAUACGGCCCAGACUCCUACGGGAGGCAGCAGUGGGGAAUAUUGCACAAUGGGCGCAAGCCUGAUGCAGCGACGCCGCGUGAGGGAUGACGGCCUUCGGGUUGUAAACCUCUUUCAGCACCGACGAAGCGCAAGUGACGGUAUGUGCAGAAGAAGGACCGGCCAACUACGUGCCAGCCGCCGCAGUAA